RNAcentral lists this long non-coding RNA (340 nucleotides) under Citrus sinensis (sweet orange). Its description in RNAcentral is "long non-coding RNA (CSIN_LNC000456)". Lineage: Eukaryota; Viridiplantae; Streptophyta; Magnoliopsida; Sapindales; Rutaceae. The record is from RNAcentral.
CUUGAAUCCCCCUUCAAAUUAUCAACCUCAGCUGGCCUAAAAUACCUCUUAUCGAUCACCACAUGAUCCUUCCAAUUCAACCCCACAUACCCAAACGCGACCUCCAAAAACUCCUCCACUGUAUGCGACUCCUCCGUCGCCACCACAUAAUCAUCCGGCUUCUCCUGCUGCAACAUCAUCCACAUUGCCUCCACGUAGUCUCCCGCAAAUCCCCAAUCCCUCGACGCUUGCAAAUUACCCAAAAACAAUUUACUCUGCAAUCCUAUCUUGAUCCUCCCAACCGCACGCGUAAUUUUUCUAGUAACAAAAUUUUCGCCGCGUCUAGGCGAUUCGUGGUUAA